Molecule: ribosomal RNA, 402 nt
Filed under: uncultured bacterium
Lineage: Bacteria
Description: bacterial SSU rRNA
Rfam family: Bacterial small subunit ribosomal RNA
Source: RNAcentral
UGGGGAAUAUUGCACAAUGGGCGAAAGCCUGAUGCAGCAACGCCGCGUGAAGGAUGAAGGUCUUCGGAUCGUAAACUUCUGUCCUAUGGGAAGAUAAUGACGGUACCAUAGGAGGAAGCCCCGGCUAACUACGUGCCAGCAGCCGCGGUAAUACGUAGGGGGCGAGCGUUAUCCGGAAUUAUUGGGCGUAAAGAGUGCGUAGGUGGUAACUUAAGCGCGGGGUUUAAGGCAAUGGCUUAACCAUUGUUCGCCCUGCGAACUGGGAUACUUGAGUGCAGGAGAGGAAAGCGGAAUUCCUAGUGUAGCGGUGAAAUGCGUAGAUAUUAGGAGGAACACCAGUGGCGAAGGCGGCUUUCUGGACUGAAACUGACACUGAGGCACGAAAGUGUGGGGAGCAAACAG